CUGCAGUGAUGACCUUCUUAGGACACCUUUGGAUUAAAGAUGAAACUAAAUCUAGUAACCUGAGCAGC
This is a small nucleolar RNA of Astatotilapia calliptera (eastern happy), 68 nucleotides long. Its record names the gene SNORD58. It matches the Rfam family "Small nucleolar RNA SNORD58". Rfam says of the family: snoRNA U58 is found in introns 1, 3 and 6 of the ribosomal protein RPL17 gene in humans. U58 is a member of the C/D class of snoRNA which contain C (UGAUGA) and D (CUGA) box motifs. The record is from Ensembl. NCBI's taxonomy places the organism in Eukaryota, Metazoa, Chordata, Actinopteri, Cichliformes, Cichlidae.